This 728-nucleotide long non-coding RNA is filed under the name Daphnia pulex (common water flea). RNAcentral's name for it is "uncharacterized LOC124194461, transcript variant X1". The record is from RNAcentral. Lineage: Eukaryota; Metazoa; Arthropoda; Branchiopoda; Diplostraca; Daphniidae.
UUAGAUAAUUGUGUUGAGUGGUUGUCAAAAGUUUUCCUAUUUUUCCAUGAAAAUUACCGAUGAAUUCAUAGGUAAAUUCAAGUUCGUUUCUGUGCAAAUUGUUUGUGAUGUGGUUUAUUCCGUAUGUGUGCUGGAUUAAAUUCAAAAUUCCUCAAUCUAACCUGUAGGAAGGAACUGGAAAGGAAACAGUAGCAUACAAGUUGCCUACCAUCACUAACAUCAACUCUUUUAUUAUAAAUCUUCGUUCUGCUGAAUGCAUCAUGCAGUUAAUACAGCAUUUUCUAUUGAUCUUGGUAGGUCACUACCCCAGUGUGGACAUGUUUGUUUUUCAACAAAUAAUACAUUGACAUACAAGGAAAACUAUGAAAAAUAUCAUAUCAUCUUGGCCAAUCUUCAGGUUUAUUGCAGCAGCUUAAGAGAAGAAUAUGAACAAAUGCAGGGCAAAUACCAACAUGUGUUGUAUUUUUCUGAAUGUUAAACACAAGCAGUAGAUUCAACAUGACUAACUGUUUGAUGCCAAAGUUAGUUGGAACUCAACUCACUGUAUGUACUCUAACACAGAUAACUGGUGCUGUUGCCUUUCAGCCACAGGCAGGAAAAUCAUUCUUUUCUUCAGAAAAUUGUAAGUUUAAUUUUUUGUCUUGACCCACCCAACACUUUCUGUUAAUAUUAUAGAUUUUUAUGUUGAAAGAGUUACAAAGUGUGAAAAGCUAACUAAAAACUUUGUG